UACGGAGGGAGCUAGCGUUGUUCGGAAUUACUGGGCGUAAAGCGCGCGUAGGCGGCUACUCAAGUCAGAGGUGAAAGCCCGGGGCUCAACCCCGGAACUGCCUUUGAAACUAGGUGGCUGGAAUCUUGGAGAGGUCAGUGGAAUUCCGAGUGUAGAGGUGAAAUUCGUAGAUAUUCGGAAGAACACCAGUGGCGAAGGCGACUGACUGGACAAGUAUUGACGCUGAGGUGCGAAAGCGUGGGGAGCAAACAGG
This 253-nucleotide ribosomal RNA is filed under the name uncultured bacterium. RNAcentral describes it as "partial 16S ribosomal RNA". It matches the Rfam family "Bacterial small subunit ribosomal RNA", at positions 524 to 776 of the family's 1533-position model. The record is from RNAcentral.